This 442-nucleotide ribosomal RNA is filed under the name uncultured bacterium. Its description in RNAcentral is "partial 16S ribosomal RNA". It matches the Rfam family "Bacterial small subunit ribosomal RNA", at positions 338 to 795 of the family's 1533-position model. The record is from RNAcentral.
CCUACGGGUGGCAGCAGUGGGGAAUAUUGGGCAAUGGGCGCAAGCCUGACCCAGCAACGCCGCGUGAAGGAAGAAGGCUUUCGGGUUGUAAACUUCUUUUAAGAGGGAAGAGCAGAAGACGGUACCUCUUGAAUAAGCCACGGCUAACUACGUGCCAGCAGCCGCGGUAAUACGUGGGUGGCAAGCGUUGUCCGGAUUUACUGGGUGUAAAGGGCGUGUAGCCGGGCUGACAAGUCAGAUGUGAAAUCCGGGGGCUCAACCGCCGAACUGCAUUUGAAACUGUUGGUCUUGAGUGUCGGAGAGGCAGGCGGAAUGCCUGGUGUAGCGGUGAAAUGCGUAGAGAUUAGGAGGAACACCAGUGGCGAAGGCGGCCUGCUGGGCGACAACUGACGGUGAGGCGCGAAAGCGUGGGGAGCAAACAGGAGUAGAUACCCCGGUAGUC